CGAGGGGUCAUGAUUUUGGGGGUAUAUGCAACCCCAAAAAUCAUGUCCACCCGAAAACAAAGGCAUAUCUAGUUUUGUUGGAUCUGUAGUCAUUGGUAUCUGUUUGAUCUGUUCAUAUCACGCAAAUCACGUGUGGUAUAGACGUGUUUCUGUAUGCUGUUUGUAUUUUUCAUAAUUAAUACAUAAGUCAUUUAAUUUAUUUAAUAUAAUAUAAGAUAAUGGAUUUCUUAGUACUAUUGCACAUAUUUGCAUUUAGUAUAAUGAUGAAUAUUGUGUCAACAGAAUUUUCUGCUGAUGACUGUAAAAGUUUAGGUUUUAAUAAGGCUAAUUUACUUUGUUCCACCUGCGAAGAAUUCAACAAACGAGAAUUAACUGAAAUAUGGAACAACUGUAAGGAAUGUUGUUUAAAAGAUGAUGAUUAUGAUACAUCCGGAUUAAAACGUUAUCCACGCGCUAUUCUUGAAGUUUGCACAUGCAAGUUUGGUGCAUAUCCACAGAUUCAAGCUUUCAUAAAAAGCAAUCGACCAAGCAAAUAUAAAAAUUUACAAAUAAAAUAUGUCAGAGGCUUGGAUCCAAUAAUUAAGUUACUAGACGCAGAUAAUAAAGUUGAAGACAUUCUGGACAUACACAAGUGGGAUACAGAUUCUGUUGAUGAAUUCUUAGCAACUCAUCUUUCUAUGGACUGAUAAUCCUGGUAAACUUAAAUACAAGAAAGGGCACAAUGCUAAUUUUUUAGCAAUUAUACCGUAUGUAUGUAAGAAACACCAUACAUACAGAGAUAGGUGAGAGAAUGAGACUUACUGAAGUUUGAAGAAACUAUUCACAAUCACCAGGAGCUUACCUUUUUAAAACAGGUGCUUCUGCUUUUUCAUUAUCAGAGGUCUUAACGUCCUGCUGUUCCUUUUUGGCAGUCUGAUUUUGUUUAGAGGCAGGAAUUGGUUUAGAAGAUUUAUCGUUGCGAUGUUGAUUUUGGUUUCCAUUCAUACGUUGAUUGCCAGACUGGGGUGCACGAGAUUGUUGUGCAGAUGGACCACGUCGCCCAGCAGGGCCAUCACGGGCGCGAUUGCCCAUCUAGUCAUGUAGGUCAAAUGACCAAACCGUCAUGAGAAGUAUCUGAUAUAAUUGCGAUUCUUCUCGAAUCGAAUCUGGUUUUAAAAACCCAUUGGGAUAUUUGAGGGAGAAAAAUAUUCUACACAAUUCGGAAGCAGGACGUAUUUAUACAGUGUUACAACGAACACCAAAGCUGCAAUGAUGAAUAGAAGACUUGGGUUCACCAGAAGUGGACCAAGCCAGAGGAGAAAUAUAUCUGCAAGUCUGUACUGAAAUUUUCUACACAAAGCCAACAUUAACUUCCACUAUUAAAAACGUGAAAUUGUAUAUUGAAAUCAAUCACACGUCUUGUUAUGGUGUUUUCAAAUGAAAUAACUUUGCGAUCGUACUUAAUUCAUCGACGAAAAUCGUGUGCAACAAAACUACUCCAACAAUAAGAAUUGUUUAUGUUUAAUAACUUCAGAGGAUAGCUAUAUAGUAUUGUCAUCCAUUGACUGAAAACCUUAUUAGUGAGUCAAUCAAUGAACAUAAGAAAGAAAAUUUCUAACUUUCACGAUAAGGAUUGAUGUUGUUGAUGUAAAAAAAAAAUAUGUGUGGAUCAAAGAUUGCCUCUAAAAUUUCCAUUUGAAAAGAUCCACGUUUUAAAUAAAAAUUAUAAUAGUCAUACCUUGUUAUAUGGUUGCGGUCGUUGAUUCUUCAUUGGGUGCCUAAUGGGACGAUCAUUAAAACGUCCAGAAGAAAAGUUUUGUUGAUUUGGAAAGUUUGGACCUGGCCCAGAAAAAUUAUUGCCAAGGCUGAGAAGCGAUGGUACUUGCUAAAAGUACAAAAUUCCAUUAAUCAAAUUUGUAACAAUCGCAAGUAACAGUUUUAAGAAAAAUCUUUUUACCUGUGGUUGUACUUCUUGUUGGGUACGUAAUAAAUUUGUAAGAAGAUUGCUA
Osmia lignaria (orchard mason bee) is the source of this 1988-nucleotide non-coding RNA. NCBI's taxonomy places the organism in Eukaryota, Metazoa, Arthropoda, Insecta, Hymenoptera, Megachilidae. The record is from RefSeq and is a predicted model, not a curated record.